Molecule: ribosomal RNA, 253 nt
Filed under: uncultured bacterium
Lineage: Bacteria
Description: partial 16S ribosomal RNA
Rfam family: Bacterial small subunit ribosomal RNA
Source: RNAcentral
UACGUAGGGUGCAAGCGUUGUCCGGAAUUAUUGGGCGUAAAGAGCUCGUAGGCGGUUCGUCGCGUCGGCUGUGAAAACCUGAGGCUCAACCUCAGGCCUGCAGUCGAUACGGGCGGACUUGAGUACUGCAGGGGAGACUGGAAUUCCUGGUGUAGCGGUGAAAUGCGCAGAUAUCGGGAAGAACACCCGUGGCGAAGGCGGCUCUCUGGGACGGUACUGACGCUGAGGCACGAAAGCGUGGGGAGCAAACAGG